This 203-nucleotide ribosomal RNA is filed under the name Zygosaccharomyces lentus. RNAcentral's name for it is "partial large subunit ribosomal RNA". It matches the Rfam family "Eukaryotic large subunit ribosomal RNA", at positions 83 to 282 of the family's 3401-position model. Lineage: Eukaryota; Fungi; Ascomycota; Saccharomycetes; Saccharomycetales; Saccharomycetaceae. The record is from RNAcentral.
UUAACGGCGAGUGAAGCGGCAAAAGCUCAAAUUUGAAAUCUGGUACCAUUCGGUGCCCGAGUUGUAAUUUGUAGAAGGCGACUCUGGGGCUGGUCCUUGUCUAUGUUCCUUGGAACAGGACGUCAUAGAGGGUGAGAAUCCCGUGUGGCGAGGAUACCAGUUCUUUGUAGAGUGCUUUCGAAGAGUCGAGUUGUUUGGGAAUA